RNAcentral lists this ribosomal RNA (373 nucleotides) under uncultured organism. Its description in RNAcentral is "partial 16S ribosomal RNA". It matches the Rfam family "Bacterial small subunit ribosomal RNA", at positions 527 to 896 of the family's 1533-position model. The record is from RNAcentral.
GAACCGUCCAAACGUUAUUCGGUAUCACUGGGCUUAAAGCGUGCGUAGGCGGCUUGGUAGGUGAGAUGUGAAAGCCCACGGCUCAACCGUGGAAUUGCGUUUCAAACCCCCAAGCUCGAGGAAGAUAGGGGUGAUGGGAACUUAUGGUGGAGCGGUGAAAUGCGUUGAUAUCAUAGGGAACACCGGUGGCGAAAGCGCAUCACUGGAUCUUUUCUGACGCUGAGGCACGAAAGCUAGGGUAGCGAACGGGGGAUUAGAUACCCCGGUAGUCCUAGCCGUAAACGAUGAACACUGGGUAGGGGGACUUCCACAUCCUCCCGGCCGUAGCCGAAAGCGUUAAGUGUUCCGCCUGGGGAGUAUGGUCGCAAGGCUG